AUGGGGGAGGAAAAAAAAAAAAAAAAAAAGGCAAAGGGAAAAAAAAAAAAAAAAAAAAAAAGGCAAGAAGAAGCAGAGAGGAAAAAGCCGCUGGGAUGGGUCACAAUUCGCAUCCCUCCCCCACCACCUCUUCUAACAAAAAAAAAUCCAACUCUGGAGGGAAUCAGAGAUGCCCUGACUGCAAGCUCCAGCCUUGCAGCCUUGCAGCAGCGGGGCCGGGUGUCCCGGGGUCCCUGGGUCCCGGGUUCCCGGCUCCCCGCACCGCGCCCCCUCCGGGCCGUGCCGGUGCCGAGCCUCGCCCGAGCCUCGCAACCUCUCCGGGAUCCAGCAGCCUCCUCCUCUCUCCCGGCCAGGAGGCAAAGCCCCAAAGCCUCGGGGAGGACACCCGGCGCCUUUCGCAUCCUCCCUCCGCCGCCGCGGAGUUUGCGCGGAGGCGGAGGGCGGCCGCGCCCGCGGAGGGCAGCGCUGCCGGCCGGCAUCUCCCCCCCCCUCCGCGGGGGAGCCGCAGGAAGAGGUGGAGCCAAGGAGAUAGGCCAGGCUGCCAAGUGUUUUCUGCAUCUCACCAAUAUGGACCUGCAGUGGAAACCUUGGGAGCCGUUCUGCCUUGGGCGGUCUCCUGAAGAUGUGUGA
Long non-coding RNA from Cairina moschata (Muscovy duck), 630 nucleotides. The record is from Ensembl. Lineage: Eukaryota; Metazoa; Chordata; Aves; Anseriformes; Anatidae.